CCCUUAGAUGUUCUGGGCCGCACGCGCGCUACACUGAUGCAUUCAACGAGCCUAGCCUUGACCGAGAGGUCCGGGUAAUCUUUGAAACUGCAUCGUGGUGGGGCUAGAUUAUUGCAAUUAUUAAUCUUCAACGAGGAAUGCCUAGUAAGCGUGAUUCAUCAAAUCGCGUUGAUUACGUCCCUGCCCUUUGUACACACCGCCCGUCGCUCCUACCGAUUGAGUGUGUUGGUGAGGAGUUCGGAUUGGCUCUUAGUGGUGGUUCGCCACCACCUAGAGCUGAGAAGUUCUCCAAACCGCCCCACUUAGAGGAAGGAGAAGUCGUAACA
Molecule: ribosomal RNA, 326 nt
Filed under: uncultured eukaryote
Lineage: Eukaryota
Description: partial 18S ribosomal RNA
Rfam family: Eukaryotic small subunit ribosomal RNA
Source: RNAcentral